RNAcentral lists this ribosomal RNA (610 nucleotides) under Lactobacillaceae bacterium CIA-53BC. RNAcentral describes it as "bacterial SSU rRNA". It matches the Rfam family "Bacterial small subunit ribosomal RNA", at positions 575 to 1207 of the family's 1533-position model. Lineage: Bacteria; Bacillati; Bacillota; Bacilli; Lactobacillales. The record is from RNAcentral.
GGGGUUUGCUGAGUGAAAGCCUUCGGCUCACCGAAGAAGUGCAUCGGAAACUGGGAAACUUGAGUGCAGAAGAGGACAGUGGAACUCCAUGUGUAGCGGUGAAAUGCGUAGAUAUAUGGAAGAACACCAGUGGCGAAGGCGGCUGUCUGGUCUGUAACUGACGCUGAGGCUCGAAAGUAUGGGUAGCAAACAGGAUUAGAUACCCUGGUAGUCCAUACCGUAAACAUGAAUGCUAAGUGUUGGAGGGUUUCCGCCCUUCAGUGCUGCAGCUAACGCAUUAAGCAUUCCGCCUGGGGAGUACGGCCGCAAGGCUGAAACUCAAAGGAAUUGACGGGGGCCCGCACAAGCGGUGGAGCAUGUGGUUUAAUUCGAAGCUACGCGAAGAACCUUACCAGGUCUUGACAUACUAUGCAAAUCUAAGAGAUUAACGUUCCCUUCGGGGACAUGGAUACAGGUGGUGCAUGGUUGUCGUCAGCUCGUGUCGUGAGAUGUUGGGUUAAGUCCCGCAACGAGCGCAACCCUUAUUAUCAGUUGCCACAUUAAUUGGGCACUCUGGUGAGACUGCCGUGACAAACCGAGAAGUGGGGAGACUCAAUCUCGCCCCUUAUGA